Non-coding RNA from Acanthosepion pharaonis, 113 nucleotides. The record is from the annotation of a GenBank genome assembly. Lineage: Eukaryota; Metazoa; Mollusca; Cephalopoda; Sepiida; Sepiidae.
UACGGCCAGAUCAUGUACAAAAACUGGCUCUUGUACUAUUACCGAAGUUAAGCAACGUUGAGCCUGGUCAGUACUUAGAUGGGUGACCGUUUGGAAAUACCAGGUGCUGCAAU